UACGAAGGGGGCUAGCGUUGCUCGGAAUCACUGGGCGUAAAGCGCACGUAGGCGGAUUGCUAAGUCAGGGGUGAAAUCCUGGAGCUCAACUCCAGAACUGCCUUUGAUACUGGCGACCUUGAGUCCGGGAGAGGUGAGUGGAACUGCGAGUGUAGAGGUGAAAUUCGUAGAUAUUCGCAAGAACACCAGUGGCGAAGGCGGCUCACUGGCCCGGUACUGACGCUGAGGCGCGAAAGCGUGGGGAGCAAACAGGG
RNAcentral lists this ribosomal RNA (254 nucleotides) under uncultured bacterium. Its description in RNAcentral is "partial 16S ribosomal RNA". It matches the Rfam family "Bacterial small subunit ribosomal RNA", at positions 524 to 777 of the family's 1533-position model. The record is from RNAcentral.